GCGGGCGCCGCUCUUUUGUUUCUUGCUGCAGCAACGCGAGUGGGAGCACCAGGAUCUCGGGCUCGGAACGAGACUGCACGCCAUUGAGCAGGAGAAGCGGAGUGAAAUUUCCUAAGAUCCUGGAGGAUUUCCUACCCCCGUCCUCUUCGAGACCCCAGUCGUGAUGUGGAGGAAGAGCCACCUGCAAGAUGGACACGAGCCACAAGCUGCACUGUGAACCUGGGCACUCCGCGCCGAUGCCACCGGCCUGUGGGUCUCUGAAGGGACCCCCCCCCAAUCGGACUGCCAAAUUCUCCGGUUUGCCCCGGGAUAUUAUAGAAAAUUAUUUGUAUGAAUAAUGAAAAUAAAACACACCUCGUGGCAUGGC
This 367-nucleotide long non-coding RNA is filed under the name Homo sapiens (human). RNAcentral describes it as "HSALNT0034923". Lineage: Eukaryota; Metazoa; Chordata; Mammalia; Primates; Hominidae. The record is from RNAcentral.